This 1924-nucleotide long non-coding RNA is filed under the name Phoenix dactylifera (date palm). RNAcentral describes it as "long non-coding RNA (PDAC_LNC010040)". The record is from RNAcentral. Lineage: Eukaryota; Viridiplantae; Streptophyta; Magnoliopsida; Arecales; Arecaceae.
GUUUUCCUUCGAGACAUCUCACGCAAAAGUUCGAGACGGCUUGGCAAAAAUAGGGCACUGUGAGUCCGACCUCGAGACGUCUCAUGAAAUAGUCAGAGACGACUCGUACGCGAGUCGACUCGAAUUCUUCUCGAGUCGGCUCGAGGUCUGCCCUUCUUCAAACUGAUGAGAGCACAAAAGUGCGAUCUACAUAUCACCUAAAUUAGUGUUAUUGCUAACUGAUAAUGAUAAAUUCACCGGUUUAAUAUUAUAUUUUGGUUUGGUAUAGGUUACUACAAACUAAAGUUUAAAUGCGCAUUUGGUACAGAUUGCACAGGUCCAAUCCUACCAUGACCUGGUCGAGCACAUUUGCCCCCGAGUGAUUUCCCAUAUUGUGCUAGCCAUCCCACGGUUCAUCAUCAGCAUCACGUCUUCAACACGUUGCGAUGUCCCAGCAUCCAUGCCGUCCAUCGGAUCACCUUCUAAAUCAGCCCGCAUCCAAGAGACCCAAUAACAUUGGGUUUGAGCUCAGCUUAUCCCAGCGUGCCAUGCCUUAGCGAUCAGGCAUCCCGUGAUUCUCCUGCAUCAAGGCCCCGCGAUCAUUUCCUUCUCGGCCAUCCGCCCAGCCAAUCAUCAACAUCCCGAAUAAAUCCAUUCCGAUCGGCUCCUCCCAGCAUCCCGCAGUUCACAUCCGGUGUGCCUAUCCUCCCAUGGUCCAAAGAAGGAAACCCACGAAGCAGCCAGCCGUCUCCCUCUUUCGAUCAUGACUUGGGACUAUCGUGAGCGGCUAGGAUGCAGGGCUUCCGAGUUCCAGCUUCCUCCCGUCGAUCCCGCGGCGGCCUCCAAGUGAUCCCGUGAUCCAGCCUCCACCACAGCCGUGAUCGGCUCCUCCCAGCAGCCCAAGAGUCCAUCGGCAUUCAUCCUCCCAGCAUCCCAGCUCUUCCGCACAUCACAACGCGUCUACAGAGCUUCUUCCGCCUGCUCCAGCCAGUGAUCCCGCGAUGCAUCGUCAAGGAAUCACGUCCAGCCAAUCGUCUCCCCCUUCCGGAUUCAAGACCCCUUCCUCCGCCUCUGCUUCCGUCCGUGAUGCGGAUGCUAAUCCAUGAUCCUAGCAUCAACCCGUCCGUCUCCUCCGCAAUUCAGAUCAUCCACCGCAUCCGUGAUCAAUUCUCCUCCACGAUCCGCCCAGCCACGGCAUCCCACGCUGCAAUCAAGCAUCUUCCAUCCAAUUGCAAGCCAUGAUCACAGCAUCCAGCCUUCCGUUCCACCCUCCUGCUUCCAAUCCGGCGUCCACGAAGCUUCCAGUGAUUCUGCCACUCUUCCGGAUUCAAGAUUCCCAGCAUCUCGGAUGACCCCCGCUUCCGUCUGCAUUCACAACCAUCUGCAAUCAAGGGGCCGCUCCAGCCCGUGAUCCCAGCCAUCUCCGUGGUGGAUCCACGUCUUCCUCCAAGCAAUCCCACGGCCAGCUCCACCGAUCCAGCCAUCUUCUUCUUCAGCCCUUCCGCGUCCGCUCCGUGUCCCAGCAAAUCCCCCAAGUCUCGCGUCUGUUACCCCUCCAUCAGGGGAUCCACCGCCGGCUUCAAGGGGUGGGGGAGAUCUAUAUAAAGGAGAGAGGAGAGGAUGAGAGUGUGCUCGGUGGGGGGGGGGGGCAAAGAACAGAGGAGGAGAGGGAGGCCAUCGGCUGGGAGAAGUGCUCGGUUGGGCCAAAAAUCAAAACAGGGGAGGAAGCUCAGUUUCGGGGAAGAAAAACAAAAGAAAAAAAGAGAGAGUAUUUUAUUUAUUUUGGUUUGAGUUUUAUGAGAGCAAUGUGUUUUUUUUAGUUUGAGUUUUAAUUGAAAGUCUUAUGUUGAGAGGUUUUGUUUUAAGUUUUAAUUUUAGAGAGUUUUAUUUUGGUGGAGAGUUUUACUUUUAAGAUUAUUUUAUUUAUGCUGCAAUUUUAAUUUCU